CUUUAUUGCUAGGGAAAGUCCCUGACCAGGAUCUCUGCUGCUACUUUUCCAGGUCAUCCCUCCCCCCCCGCCACUGCUUCUGGACUCGCUGUGCACAGAGGAUGAUGAGGGGGGACCCCUGGCCUGCAUGCUCCUGGGCUGGUACAUGAGCGGGUACCACACUGGCUUCUACAUGGGACUCAGACAAGGCCGGGCAGAGGCAGCGACGCCCCCUCCAAAGCAGGGACCACGGUGGAAGAAGUCAUCCCCGCACAGUUAGGGGCAGCUGGGUCUGGCUCCUUGCUCCCCCCCCCCACGGCAGGCUUGGGGCAGCGGCACUGUCGGCCAGAGGUCUCCGCGCUGGCACCAGCGCUCAUGCUUUGAGGACUGGGACUCUGCAGUGCUGGAUACAAGCUGGCCGUGCACCCCUGGGAGGGAGAGGACCCGUGCUGGCUCGGAGCCCGGCUGGAGUCCAGGGUGUGGAGGCGUUGCUCCCCAGUGGCAGGCUUGCGCAGACGGGAUGGCUGGGGCCCAUCGGCAGGUUCCAAUAAAAGGUGUUUGUCAGACCCUGUGCUCCAGGGAGGUUGUUGGUCUGGACGGGUGGGGAGUUCCCACUGGUGGGAUGGAGGGAUGGCGGUGGGUUCCCGUGUUUGAAACA
Molecule: long non-coding RNA, 637 nt
Filed under: Chelonoidis abingdonii (Abingdon island giant tortoise)
Lineage: Eukaryota; Metazoa; Chordata; Testudines; Testudinidae
Description: lncRNA (ENSCABG00000004058.1)
Source: RNAcentral